RNAcentral lists this ribosomal RNA (472 nucleotides) under uncultured bacterium. Its description in RNAcentral is "bacterial SSU rRNA". It matches the Rfam family "Bacterial small subunit ribosomal RNA", at positions 27 to 518 of the family's 1533-position model. The record is from RNAcentral.
GGACGAACGCUGGCGGCGUGCCUCAUACAUGCAAGUCGAGCGAACUGACUCGGUCAGUUAGCGGCGGACGGGUGAGUAACACGUGGGUAACCUGCCCUAAAGACCGGGAUAACAUCCUGAAAGGGAUGCUAAUACCGGGUGUGGUCUUUGCUCCGCAUGGAGUGAAGAAGAGAGGAGCAAUCCGCUUUAGGAUGGACCCGCGUCCCAUUAGCUAGUUGGUAGGGUAAUGGCCUACCAAGGCGACGAUGGGUAGCCGACCUGAGAGGGUGAUCGGCCACACUGGGACUGAGACACGGCCCAGACUCCUACGGGAGGCAGCAGUCGGGAAUAUUGGGCAAUGGGGGAAAAACCCCCUGACCCAGCAACGCCGCGUGAGUGAAGAAGGCCUUCGGGUCGUAAAGCUCUGUCCUCGGGGACGAAGAAUGACGGUACCCGAGAAGAAAGCCACGGCUAACUACGUGCCAGCCGCCGC